This 920-nucleotide long non-coding RNA is filed under the name Mus musculus (house mouse). Its description in RNAcentral is "long non-coding RNA chr9:66489528-66490448". The record is from RNAcentral. Lineage: Eukaryota; Metazoa; Chordata; Mammalia; Rodentia; Muridae.
GUUCUCUUGCUACUCUGUGCUCCUAUUUGAUGAAUUUGUUUUCAGGGACAAAUUCCUCUCCAUUAACUCUCAAGUGAGAGCCUUCACCCUUGAUGAAAGAAUGGCUGACAAGAGCUCUACCUCCUCCUCUCUGCUGCUGUCAGGCUGUAGAGAUGGAGAGCUGUGUGAGGGCAGUGUGAGAGAUGAAGUCAACUGUGACUAGAGUUUCUCCCUUGUCAGAGCACUGAGUCCUCUGAGUAAGGAAAGAGCUGGCUCAGGAGGGAAGGAACUUGCUGUAGUUAUUGUGUGAGUUUGCUUUUUCCUUGGUAUGACAAAGGGUCUGACAGAAUGGAAGAAAGGUGGUUGUUUUAUGGAUGCAGAAGGAUCUGUGUGUAGUUCUGUUUUACAGAUGCCGAGGAGUUAGUCUGUAGUUUUAUGGUCCCAUUGCUCCUGGGUUCAUGAAGAAACAGAUUCUCUUGAGAGAAGAGAAUGGCUGAACAAAGCUAGUCACCUUGUGAUAGAUAUGAGGCAGAGAAAGGGGAAAAGGUUAGAGACAAGAUAAUCUUUCCAACACAUGCCUCCAGUCUGGCAAGAUGCCUCUCUGUAUAAAGACACUUGCUGCCGAGCGUAAGACCUGAGUUCCAUUGUGGAAUUCACAUGUGGAAAAGGAAAAAUAAUCUAACCUUUACAUAUAUAGUUUGGCUUGUAUGUGUGCACACACACACAAGAGGAGGAGAAGAAGAGGCAGCAGCAAAUAAAUAAAGGUCUGGAAAGAUGACUCAGUGGUUAAUAGCACUUGGUGCUUCUUUAGAGAGCCUGCCUUUGGUUCCAAGCAUGUACCCCAUGUGGUUCACAACCAUCUCUACUCUGAUUCCAGGGCAUUCAACACGCUCCUCUAGUCUCCAUGGGCACCAGGCAUACGUGCAGGCACUCAAACAUGU